UCCAGCAUAAAUAUAUUUGACAGCUCAUGGAGAGAUAACUUGCUGCUAUUAAUCCUGCUGGCUAAUAACAGCAUAAAUUUACCCUGCAUGGAGUCCUCCUUCUAAGGUGAAGAACUUGAAAGGAUCACAGAGGAAUUAAUUUAUGAGAGCUGAUGGAGUGGAAAGCAUCUCAGCAGAGUCAGCUUGUGUUUGCUGAACUCAGGCUAACAUCACCGAUCGACUUUUUCCACAUACUGAACUGGGCAAAAAAGGAUGAGAGUAGAAAAUCACCUUGUGUGCUUCUGAGCGGCCUGCAAAGACUAGACUGAAGCAAUGGCUGACCCCGAAACAUCAAUAUCUGCCAGCAAACCCGGGUGAGGAGUUUUUGUUGGAAGAAACAAGGCCGUCAUUCCCGUUGGGAAUUAGCGCUGCGCGGAGCCGCGUUCCGGAGCGUGGUGGAACCCCAGCGGGGAGCGGCUGCGGAGCUGGGGAGGGUGCACAACCAGCAGCUGGGGAUCAGCUUGACUCACAGGAGCUGCCAUGGUGCUAGGAAGGCUGGUGGUGAAUUCACGGAUGUUUUACAAAUAGCAAGCCCAUGGCUGUCCCAGCUGUGGAUAGUCAAGUUGCAAAUAACAGUCUGAGGUUCCAGGCCAGCUCUGCCCAGAGAUAGGAGGCGGUGUGGUGGAUUUCUGCAAUGCUUUCUGCCCACAGGAGUGGGGGAAGGAAGGAGCAGCAGCCUCUGCUCCCCUCCCUGUAGCCCUUGCAGAG
This 747-nucleotide long non-coding RNA is filed under the name Parus major (Great Tit). Its description in RNAcentral is "lncRNA (ENSPMJG00000019462.1)". The record is from RNAcentral. Lineage: Eukaryota; Metazoa; Chordata; Aves; Passeriformes; Paridae.